Long non-coding RNA from Cottoperca gobio, 594 nucleotides. RefSeq lists it as uncharacterized. NCBI's taxonomy places the organism in Eukaryota, Metazoa, Chordata, Actinopteri, Perciformes, Bovichtidae. The transcript has 3 exons. The record is from RefSeq and is a predicted model, not a curated record.
AGUGGAGCAAGAGUACAGAGGUGUGGUUUGUGAGAACAUUUGGCGAGAGCUACAGAGGCUGAACUAUUGCAGUGGACAGGACAAACAGUUCUCUCUUGUUUUCACCAUCGCCUCCUUUCUGUUCAGUUACCUGACGCUGCCCACUGGUUUCCUCUUAGACCAGUUUGGUACAACAGUGGCUCGGCUCUUUGGAACGCCUACUUAUCCCUGAAUCCCUCCUCAAGACACCCUCCACCAAUCCUACUCGGUGAUCCUAAGCUGCCUGGUAGGAUGUCUGGAAUCAGUCCCUCGAGUCACAUUUCUAAUUCCAGGCUCCUUCAUUACAAUUUUCCAUCCAUCCAUCAGAUGUUCUAAGUCCACACUUUUUCGAUCACCUGACUGCCCCACCCAUCUUCCCACCUGUUUCCACUUCCCUCAUCUGCCCUGCAGUUGCCUUGCUCUUCCCCGCCCACCCUCAUCAUCAACAUUGUUACGGCCACGGCCUUAUUUAUCUGCGGGGGAUUACUUUGUGGAUGCAUGCACCUUGUUUUCCCUAUUUAAGUAAGAUUUGGAUGUGUGACCGCCGCCCCUUGAUUGGCUGCGGCGACACCCCCU